GCCUAAAUAAAUCCAGCAAUUAAGCUGCCUAAAUAAACCUAGCAAAUAUACUGCUUAAAUAAACAAGCAUCAUGUAAGAGAAAAAACAACCCAGAGCAGAAACAACUCUGAGUUGGUGAGUGCUCACCUGGAGGCAGCAGCAAAGAAAGAGGAAAUGGAAGGGCCUGCUUAGGGGUUUUAUACUACUGUUGCUUUGUUCUGAUUGGUUGUUUUGAAAAGUUCUG
Molecule: non-coding RNA, 224 nt
Organism: Pelobates cultripes (western spadefoot toad)
Lineage: Eukaryota; Metazoa; Chordata; Amphibia; Anura; Pelobatidae
Source: the annotation of a GenBank genome assembly